This 450-nucleotide ribosomal RNA is filed under the name uncultured bacterium. RNAcentral describes it as "bacterial SSU rRNA". It matches the Rfam family "Bacterial small subunit ribosomal RNA", at positions 29 to 524 of the family's 1533-position model. The record is from RNAcentral.
AACGAACGCUGGCGGCAUGCCUAACACAUGCAAGUCGAACGAAGCCUUCGGGCUUAGUGGCGCACGGGUGCGUAACGCGUGGGAAUCUGCCCUUGGGUUCGGAAUAACAGUUAGAAAUGACUGCUAAUACCGAAUGAUGUCUUCAGACCAAAGAUUUAUCGCCCAAGGAUGAGCCCGCGUCGGAUUAGCUAGUUGGUGAGGUAAAGGCUCACCAAGGCGACGAUCCGUAGCUGGUCUGAGAGGAUGAUCAGCCACACUGGGACUGAGACACGGCCCAGACUCCUACGGGAGGCAGCAGUGGGGAAUAUUGGACAAUGGGCGAAAGCCUGAUCCAGCAAUGCCGCGUGAGUGAUGAAGGCCUUAGGGUUGUAAAGCUCUUUUACCCGGGAUGAUAAUGACAGUACCGGGAGAAUAAGCCCCGGCUAACUCCGUGCCAGCAGCCGCGGUAAU